AGUUAACUAAGCUUUAGUAUCAAGCGUAUACUUUGAAAGUAUAAGAAAGUGGUUAAAUUCCACUAUUAACUU
Molecule: transfer RNA, 72 nt
Filed under: Cryptorhamphus sp.
Lineage: Eukaryota; Metazoa; Arthropoda; Insecta; Hemiptera; Cryptorhamphidae
Description: tRNA-Ser
Rfam family: tRNA
About the family: Transfer RNA (tRNA) molecules are approximately 80 nucleotides in length.
Source: RNAcentral